GCAUAAGCGCACAGCUUCGCAUGAAGCAGUGUGAAAAACUCCGGUGGUAUACGAUGGAUCCGCGUCUGAUUAGCUGGUUGGCGGGGUAAAGGCCCACCAAGGCGACGAUCAGUAGCCGGCCUGAGAGGGUGAACGGCCACAUUGGGACUGAGACACGGCCCAAACUCCUACGGGAGGCAGCAGUGGGGAAUAUUGCACAAUGGGGGAAACCCUGAUGCAGCGACGCCGCGUGAGUGAAGAAGUAUUUCGGUACGUAAAGCUCUAUCAGCAGGGAAGAAAAUGACGGUACCUGACUAAGAAGCCCCGGCUAACUACGUGCCAGCAGCCGCGGUAAUACGUAGGGGGCAAGCGUUAUCCGGAUUUACUGGGUGUAAAGGGAGCGUAGACGGCAGCGCAAGUCUGGAGUGAAAUCCCAUGGCUUAACCAUGGAACUGCUUUGGAAACUGUGCAGCUAGAGUGCAGGAGAGGUAAGCGGAAUUCCUAGUGUAGCGGUGAAAUGCGUAGAUAUUAGGAGGAACACCAGUGGCGAAGGCGGCUUACUGGACUGUAACUGACGUUGAGGCUCGAAAGCGUGGGGAGCAAACAGGAUUAGAUACCCUGGUAGUCCACGCUGUAAACGAUGAUUACUAGGUGU
RNAcentral lists this ribosomal RNA (634 nucleotides) under uncultured bacterium. Its description in RNAcentral is "bacterial SSU rRNA". It matches the Rfam family "Bacterial small subunit ribosomal RNA", at positions 171 to 823 of the family's 1533-position model. The record is from RNAcentral.